RNAcentral lists this ribosomal RNA (375 nucleotides) under uncultured bacterium. RNAcentral describes it as "bacterial SSU rRNA". It matches the Rfam family "Bacterial small subunit ribosomal RNA", at positions 521 to 896 of the family's 1533-position model. The record is from RNAcentral.
UAAUACGUAGGCAGCAAGCGUUGUUCGGAAUUACUGGGCGUAAAGAGUGUGUAGGCGGUGUUCUAAGUCUGUUGUGAAAUCUCCCGGCUCAACUGGGAGGGUGCGGCGGAGACUGGAAUGCUAGAGUAUGGGAGAGGUAAGCGGAAUUCCUGGUGUAGCGGUGAAAUGCGUAGAUAUCAGGAGGAACACCUGUGGUGUAGACAGCUUACUGGACCAUGACUGACGCUGAGACACGAAAGCGUGGGUAGCAAACAGGAUUAGAUACCCUGGUAGUCCACGCCCUAAACGAUGCAUACUUGGUGUGAGCCAUUCAUUUGGUUCGUGCCGGAGCUAACGCGUUAAGUAUGCCGCCUGGGGAGUACGGUCGCAAGGCUG